UCUGAAAUAAUUUCCCCAGCCGAUCUGAUACAAACCGGAAGUAACGACAAAGAUAAUGCAGAACUUUAAAGUGGUCCACACCCCAGGGGUAGGCAGCAAUCCCACUACAAUCCCACGGGAGCAUCUGACUGACAGUGCUCAUCAAACAAAUAACUUCCCAAGUAAGAGAUCUCUCCAGCAAAGCUCAUCACUGGAAAUACCAAGGCCAAAAAAGCAUAAUCUAGCUUAAAACUAAUCCACAAUGUCCGUAAUAGGUUACAGAUGGCAACUCAGCAAGCCUUCCCUGUUGGGUGAGCUUCUGCUAGAGCUGGGCUGCCUUCCCUGCCCCUACUCUGCUCAGCAGCAGCUCCUCCUUAUGGAUGCUGUUUUGUUAGUAUACUCCCUGCUAGUAUAUUACAUGGUUGUAAUCCAACAGCAGCCUAGUGACCCUCACAAUGGGCCCCAGUAGACAGCGAAUGCAUAUGUACAUUUUAUAUAGGUUUAAAACUACCAGCCAUACGCAGAAUAUUAUAAGACAAGGCGUGUGUUAAAGUGUACUAAAAGCUGCAUUAAAGUAAAAAUGGUCAAUAAAACAGCAAAAUCCAAACGCAGUCAAAGUUCCCCUGGGGCUUGGCAAAGAUCUGAAGACAGGUCUAAAUAAAAGAGCACAAUAAUUCUAAUAUCGUAAAAGAAAAAAGGGAAGCGAUUAGCACAAUUCCCAAAGCACUAACACUGAUUAGACCACCAGAAGUUGAUGACCAGGUACUAGUUCAUUUAAUAUUCACCUUAAAGGAAAAGCCAGCUGUUUGUGAACUGAACGACUGAAUGUUACCAACUUCCAUUGCCACACGGUUAAUCUCCAGUGGGCUGUGCUUGAGAUUAGACAUUUAAAGAAGUAAUUAAGAUUAAAUGAGACCCUAAGUAUGAGCCUUUGGUCCAACAGGAAUAGUGCCCUAACAAAGAGACAUCGGAGACCUUGCACACUCUCCCUCCUCCUCUGGACAAAGGGGGAGGGGCAGAUGAGCAUAGUAUGAAUUGGCAAGGACUGACAUGCCAGGACAAGAGCCUCACAAUGAAACCUUUCUUGCCAACACCUUGGUCUACUUCUCGGCCGCUGAAACGACAAGGGAGAAACUUCUGUGCUCAAGCCACUCAGUCUGCAGUAUUUUGCUAGGGCAAGCAAAGAAGGGCUGAUAUGACAGUCUGUGGUUUGUAAGUCCACCAAGGGUGAAACUAAGUCUUAAGGCUUGAGCAAAGUCUAGAGAAAUGGCGAAGACUUUGUUUCUAUUGCCUUUUGUAGGGGAAAAAAAAAUCACACUUUGAAGUUAAUCCUGGUGCUUGAAGAGCUAGGAUGGAGAACUCAGACAGGGGUCAGGACAGUAAUAAGCUGGGCUCCCAUGGUGAGGUGAAAUGAAGCAAGACAGGGGUACCGAGAACCUGUGCUCAUAUCCUAACAUGGGAGCUGUGCACCUCUGUGAGAUGAAUUAGUAACCCUGAACCCGCAUGAAGCCCAGCAGUGUAAGAAGCAAGAUCAGAGCGUCCCUGCACUGUGCUGCUUUCUGUUUGUUCCCAUUUCAAACUGUUUCCAAAGUAGCAUCAUCUGUAUAAUGCAUACCCAAACGCAUACUGACCAGCCUUUUAUUUCAUAUACAUAAAAUUUAACCAGUACAGAAUGCACCUCUACAGACGGCUAAGCACCGCUCUAAAGUAUAUAGGGGACACAAAGAUAAACCCCACAUCUUGGGAAGACUACUGACACAAGCAGAUGCCUGAAAGGAAUGGCAUUCAGGAACAGACACCCUAACAAAGGACCACGUGCCCUGGCUGCUCAGGGGAGGGAAGAGGGGGUCUGCCCUCUUGUGAACAAGAGACCAUGAGUUAGACUUCUAAGGCUGUGAACAGGAAGAGCCAAAGGAGAUAAUUCAGAUUUUUUUUUUUUAAAAGGGAGGGGGUGGGAUAAGAAAGGCUCUGCACCCGGAGUGGACAAUGUUCACAGGGAGAAAGAAGCGUGUUAAAGGACAUCAUGCCCAGGACGUGUCUGUGCACACACAAAGGUAAGGGAGGCAGAGCAUGCAGAGAUGCUGCACUGAGAUGCACGUGGCCUGAAUGAGCGACGGUCCUGGCUGGCAUCAAGGUGAACGGUGCUCCCUAAGGUGGAGAGACUGCAGUCCCACAAAACUGAAACAGCACAGAGAUCUGUAGUACAGAGAGGUGAUACGGCAGUGUGAGGAAGAGCAGCAGAGAUGUGCCCAGGACUUUGUUCCAGGACAGAGCUAUUCCUAAGAAUAUGAACCUGAAUGCCUACGAGAAACAAAUUAGCAACAGAACAAAACAGGAUUACAACCUGGGAGACAUAAAGGACUAACAUAUUAUAUAUGGACUUCGUGGGUGGGCCAAGCGACCUGUCAUACACCUCCCAUGGAGGCCUGCCGACAGGCUAUAGUCUGUCCUAAAAAACCAAAGGCUAUUUCCUGUUUUCUGUUACCAUUCUGUAUCCUGAUUCAACAUCUUGAAAAUAAUCAUUCUUUGAAAUAACCUAAACCCUAGCAUAUUAAAACUUUAAAAAAAAAAUAGAAAAAAAAAGACCUCACCCAACCUCUCCUUCUUCACAAAUGAGAAAUCUAAGGCUUGGCACAAAUAAGAGCUUCCUGGGGACUUGGUACCAGGGAGGGGACAGCCUGCUGCUGAAAGUUCAUGGUUUGUUUCCAAGCUCUUUCCCCACAUCUUCGCAUUAAGGUGCCCUUUUCUGUGAGGUAUUUUCAAGCCGUCCCCCCUGCCCCCCGCCAUCCCAUCUGCUGUGAUUUGGAUAUAAGGCCCCUUGUGUGAGAGCCUGGUGCCCAGCUUGACAUUUUCAGGAAGAACUGGAACUGUCAGAUGUGGAUCUAGUGAGGUGACUUCAGGACACGAACUAAGCACCUAAAGGAGAGAGUAGAACUCCAGCACUCCUUCCUCAUCUUCUCUUGGCUCCCUGGUAAGCAAUUUUUCUCUACCAUGUACUCCCACCAUGCCACACUGCCCUGCCAUAGGCCCAAAUCAACAGGGCCAACUGAAUGAAUGAAGACCUCAAAAAGUAUGAGCCUAGCCAGAUGUAUGGCACACACCUUUAAUCCCAGCCCUUGAGGCAGAGGCAGAUGGAUCUUUAGGAGUUCAAAGCUAGCUUCAUCUAAAUAGCGAGUCCCAGGCCAGCCAAGGCUACAUAGAUCCUGUCUCAAACAAUCAAAAAGUAUGGGCCCAGAUAGCCUUUACCACCCAAUUCCCAAACGCAGUGCUAGGGACCAAAGCCAAAGCUUCAUGAUGCUGGGCAAGUGUCUGCUACUCAGUGACACCCCCAACCCAGGCCUUUUCUUUUUAUAAACCGAUUAGCUCAGAGUUUAGGCCCAGUGACAGGAAGCUGGCUGACACGUCAUCUGAAAAUUUAAGGGCACUCUGUCACUUAGUCUGUGCCAUGCAGCAAGCCCUCCUUUCUCCCUGUCAGUUCUUCAUCUCUACAUUACCACUAAAGCAGGUGUUCUCCAAGCCCCUUCCAGACCGGGCAGUGUUUUUCUGCAACCUAAUUUCCACCACCAAACAUGGAUGGCAUUUUCUGAUUAUUCAUGAAGCUAGUAGGGGUUUGAACCAAUGAAAUAAAACACUGUACAAAACAAUGGGAUGUUUUCCUGGCAUUUCAAAUAGCCCUUCUUGCUUUAAGGCCAUAUGUAGGUUUAACUUUAUAAAUGAAGCAACCCCGGGUAAUGCAGCUAAGACCAGUCAUCAGUUCUCCAGUGUCCUGAAGGCUGUCCACCAUGCAGCAGGCACUGGAUACAUAUUUGCUGAAUGCGUGUUGACACACACCUGCUUGCCAUUUGUAUGUUUUUACUAAUUACAGCUACAUGUUCUACUAUUCAAAAUAUCUCUUUUGAUAAGGAAUAGAUAGGGGAAUUAUAGUUUUCUGGUUUCUUGAAAAAUACCAUGAAGAGCCUAAAGGAAGUAGAAAUGGCAGUUGUUCAGAGCCUCAUGCUAACUAUGGCUGUCAUUUUCUGUUCACAUGCUCAGACCUACCUGCCCAGGACGGGCGCUCACCAAGCCCCUUUCCUCCCCUCCAUCUUCUUUCUUUGAGAGGCUUUGCAUCAGCAGUGGCCUUUUCCUCUGUGUUAGCCCCCUUCCCCACUCUCUUCAAGUAGCCAUAGAAUGUGGAAGUGUUUAUUUUUGCCAUCUGUAUCUGAGUGUGACUGAGACCGGAUCCAGCCUUGUGUUUAAGGCAAGCCCCCACUCCUCACCCUCCUCUUCUCUGUCCUCCCACUUACAGAAACCCUUCUUUAAACUAGAUGAGAGUUCUUAAAAGUCUUGACCCCCUCCCUUCAUCUCCUCCACAGCUCCAUUCUAAACCAGCCCCCGCCCGGCUCCCCUGAAAUGCCUUUAGAUUCAUUAUUAAAGCCUCCCCUGCAGGAAGCAUUUCUGACACGCAGAAGGUGCCCUUCUGGGGGUGUUCCACACCAUCCUGCUUCUUGUCUUAGCCAGGACACUCUCCUCCACUCCCACACUUCAGAAGACUGAGUCUCAGAUCUGCUCUAGCCCGGGGCUAUCAAGUACUCAGCUCUUACCACAGCAUCUCUUACAACAAUUUCUCCACACUACUAUCCAUCUGCUCUGUCAAGGGGGAACUGCACUGUGUGCGCAUCUUUCUCAUGGUAGACGAUCAUUGCUUGUUCAGACAUAUUGCCAUCUCUCUACCAACUUCCUCUAUCACUGUCCCAUAUGGGCACCUCAGAAAUUACUAAUUCUCCAGAGAGCUAAAGCCAUACUAAUUAUUCCCCCACCAUCUACAAGUCUCAUGACAUCUGGUGAUUUCAGCCCUACUCAUGGGGCUUCCCAAGCAAAAAAAAAAAAACCUCAGCAUGUUCUCCAACAUGAGCAACCAGUUAGCAAAACUCAUCCUAUGAUUUACUUCACUAUCUACUGCUGUCUCCCCUACUCUCACUGCUCAUCUCUUCUGUCAGACCUUAAUCUGCAACUGCUCUCCCGAAUGCCCAAAGCAUCUUCCAUACAACCACAGGACAGGGUAUCCUGCUUGUACACUGUGACACAUCCCUGCUUGUACCCUGUGGCAUCUCUUCCACUUCUUAAGUAAUAAAACAAGUCCAAACUCCUCACAAGACACUCAGGGCUUUUCUAGAUCCUUCUUGAGUAUCAGCACCUCCUCCAUCUGCCCCACCUCAUGUAUCUUUCAACCUAAUCAGACCAAACUCACCCUCACGCCCUUAAAUUUGCUAUCUUCUCAUGGCUCAGUUUAUGUUGGACUUCCUCUGCCUGUAAUCUUUACUUCAAGGUCCAUUCAGUACCCAUUUCUAUCCUAACAGACCCAGCUCCCAUGUAAUUGUUCUAAAGCCUGCCUAAACUAAUGCCCACAGGCCUGCUUAUAAGUAAUGGCUUUCCUUCCAAAAUGAGUUUAAGCAGUGUAAGGUAAGUUAUAUUGGUUAACUGUCCUCUGCUCUUACUUGGUGAAAGCUGACGCUGGGAGUGGGGAGGCCCUGAACUGUCUGGGGAAGGCUGGCUCCUUCACUCUCUAACUAGGAAAAGAGCAAGCCACAGUGGGUAUUAGGAACAUUGUCCUUGAGAACAGGUUAGGAGAUAAACCAACUUAACUGAACACGAAGCUAGAAGUUCAUCCAUAGAAAGCUCAUCCACGGAGAGGCUGGAGAGGAUGGAGAGGACCCUCUUGCCUAGGAGUCUCUCAGUUAGGAACUCCAGCUGACUGCCUCAGUUUCCACAGUUUGUUUCUGCUGGUUGUAAACUCCCAAUUCGAUGAUGUUCUUGGUCUGCUGGUGUUUGUCCUUUACCUGAGAAGAUGAUCCCAUUCUACCUAGGACUCUUGACUGGAAACUCCAGCUGCCUGCCUCAAUGGGGCUUCUCCAGGAGAUUUCUGCCGCAUAUUUGUAAGCCCUAGAUUUGAUCUAGUCUUGUGGUGGCUCUCUCAAUUGGUCUACAUCCAGUCUGUUGGAUGUUGUGAUCACCCAGUUUGAUGUUUUGCCAUCCAGCUACGGCCUUCCUCUAUCUGCUACUCACUACUUAAGUUUUUUAUUUUUGCUAGCUAUCUAUUAAAUAAUUCACUCAUUCAACACUGAAAGCGUGACUGUUGUAGAACAUGCUCCAGACUCUACCGAGCACAAUGCAACUGCGUUUUUAAGGCAGGGAAUGUCACAGCUGAGACUCAACAGCAUGAAUGAGAUGAAAGGAGGUGGUCAUAGAACAUUCAGAAUGUCUGCCCUAGGGCUCAAACUCAGUGUGAAGCGCACUGGCCCUGAGUCUCUAGCAAAUGAGGUGACCCACUCUUCUAUAAACCCACGGUCAAUCAUAAAUGUCAACCAAUAGCACAUGCCACAUUUUUUAUAAUUUGCUCUUUGUGUCCAUCUCCCUCUCUGGAAUGGGAAACUCCUGAGGAAAUAUAUAAUUUCUGACUCACCUCUGCAUCUCCACAUGUAGCCUAUGACUCAGCAAAGGACUGGCACUCAGGAAACAUUUAUUUUGAAUGAAUUUCCUAAUGGCCAGGAAAUAUAGUAAAAUGCUGCUGAGUUUCCUGCCUACUACUGGAAAAAAGAAAAAUAUCUCUCUCUCUCUCUCUCUCUCUCUCUCUCUCUCUCUCUCUCUCUCUCUCUCUCUCUCUCUCUCUCACACACACACACACACACACACACACACACACCAUAAUCACAAAGGUAAGAGAUAGCAGGGAAAUGGCUGAGCCCCCAAGUUGUCGAUCUCUCCCAAAGCACUUGCUCUUUCCACUCUGCAUAAUAUUGGUUGCCCUUACCAUCACUGUGGACCCCAAACCCUCUUCCAAGUCCUAGUUUAAAACAAAACACCUUUAUCCAAGAAAUCUGUCCUGCUCACUCACGGGGAAGGUGACACUGGGUAAGAAAUCCAGAGAGCGCAGAGUGCCUCCCUGGUGGCUUCCCGCAGUGUGCUGAAGUGGCCAGCUCCACUGCUCUUCCUCCUACUGCAGACCCGGGCACCUUUCCUGUCUUCCUCCUUUUCUUUCCUUACAGUUCUCUCCAUUCCAAACUGAAACUCAAAAGUUUCUUCAGUCCCACUGUGUCACUGAAGCAAGUGAAGAGAGGUCCCAACUCCUCUUCUCCACAUCAGUUAGGCUUUUAAGCAUCUUACAACCAGGAACCAACCCCUGCAUCCUAAGAGGCGCAAUGCUUUGCCAGGCCUAAUGUUAGUGCCUGCAUUUCAUCGGAACACUUCCGCCCAGCUGCAGGAGUAAGGAGAGACAACUUCUGAUCUUCCUUUGGGACUCCUCUCACUCCCCCCCCCCCCCCCCAGGGCAGACCUGUCUCAAGAUGCAGCUGUGGGGAGAGGAAAUGGAUAACCCCAUCUUUCUCCAGGUUUUAGAAUUCUUUUUCCCCAUUCCUUAUCUCCCUCUCUGGCCUCAAACUCUCACAGCUGUCCUCAAUCCUAACUCAGGAACUAUUUUAUUAACAGUCAACAAUUUCUUGAGUAACCACACACCCGUGGCCUCUUCUGACAUGUUAAAACCCCUACACAACUCAGGCCCUAAUAUCCCAGCUCCCGUUUUAAAUGUGUGAAAAGAUGUGUCUUCACCCUUGAUCCAUUCUCCUAAGUAGCGCAAAACAUUUGUACUGUUAAAUGUUAUCACAGCGAUAAAACAUCCAUUCUCUAUCAUCAGAACAGGCAGACUAAAUUCGUGUUUCUUACUCCAACAGAACAAUUAUCCCUGCAAUUUACAGAGCUACCUCAGUGCCAGUGCGAUGAUUUAAUAAUUCAUGCCAACUGUUCAGGACCUGGGCCCUGGGACAUGAAGUACUUAAAUUUAGCUAUCAGCAGAUACACAUUAUCUCUCACAAUAGUACCUGGGGGUGGGUAUUACAUCACACCCAACUCCCCCAUUAUAGAAACAUCGACCCAGCAGCGUCGGAGCAAAGGAGCUUCCCCAAGAUGAGCUCCAUUCUCCUCCAACUCCCAGCCUGCUUCCUCUGCUUGACUAUCUUGUACUCAGCCAUAAUGGACAUCACUACCACCAUCACGCCAGCCUAUGGUAAGAGUGGAAGUGUCCUCACCCUGGGUUCCUGUUUACCCAGACAAAAAGCAAACAAACAGGCUGAGCCCGUUGUUUCAAGCAAGCACAAGCUAACAACAUGUGUGCUGACUGCUUUUGGACUAGAAAUCCACUUCUGAUCUAAUAGGUGGUUCUGGCAUAGAGGAUGGGACACCAGUUGAGAAAUAGCCACCCCAAACAAAGGGGCUACAAGUGGAAGAAUUCACCAAAAGUUAGCACAGGAAGAGAGAUACUCUGAAAUCCUUGCAUUAAUAGGACUGUAUUGUUGGAACAGCAACAAAGAAAAUUUGGGAUAGAGUCAUAUGGCACAGAGAUACAGAUAAGUGUAACCCCGCCUUCUUUAAAAAAAAAAAAAAAGUCAUCUUUUUUUUUAACAAAGACCAUCACAGAAAACCACAGCUGGUUAAGGUAAAGAACAAGGCAUGAUGGGGUACAAGUGAUCCAGCCCCAGUGGAUACAUCUAUAACACAGCUGCACCUGAGGCUCAGGAAAUAUGAUGGACAAGGGAGCAGAGAGAGUGUGAGAAUCAGAGGACCCGGAAAUGACAGGGAACCUCCACCCAUGGUGCCUCAAUAAAUAUGGCAAGUAAGGCCUGAACAAGGACAGCACCAAUAGACUUGCCAAUGAAGAAAGGAGAAAUCCCAGGGGACCCCACUCCUACACAAAGAACUAUAGGAAACUCAGGCAUGCUGAGGUUGGGAGAAUUCCUUCUUUCCAAGGAUGACCACCUCCCAAUUGGUUACCCAAUAUCAAGUGGUCAGCCUGAGAUCGUACACAGAAGCAACACUGAAUGGACACAUCAGAUUGUUUUUUUAUAUUUAUGCACACACACUCACACACAACAAUGACAAAGAAAAUGAGACCUUGAAUUUGAGAGGAAAGGAGAUGGGAAUAUGGGAAAAAAUAAGAGAGGUAAAGGAAGCGGGGAGAUGACAAUUAUAUUUUGAGUUAAAAAAUAUAUUUUAAAUUAGGAUGAGUACUAUAGAAGAUGUUGGUGAUAUACUCUCUGGUGGUAGAGACAGUCUAGGAGAUGUAGUUCAAAUGCUAAAAUAUUAGAAAAUCUGAAGUUAUUGAUGGAUAUUGACAAUAAUGAAGCAAAAUUUCUGAAACUCAAAUAUUCCUGGAAAAUCUUAUUGACUACAGUGUAUCAUAGUAUAAAGCAGAAUACCCACAUCAUGAAAAUGUGACAACAUUGAAUGAUUUUUUUUUUUUUGGUUUUUCGAGACAGGGUUUCUCUGUGUAGCUUUGCGCCUUUCCUGGAUCUCACGCUGUAGCCCAGGCUGGCCUCAAACUCACAGAGAUCCGCCUGCCUCUGCCUCCCGAGUGCUGGGAUUAAAGGCGUGUGCCACCACCGCCCGGCUGAUUUUUAUAUAUGUAAACCAAUUAAAAGUUUCUACAUACUAGGGCUGGAGGGAUGACUCAGCAGUUAAAAGCACUGACUGCUCUUCCAGAGGUCAUGAGUUCAAUUCCCAGCAACCACAUGGUAGCUCAGAACCAUCUAUAAUGAGGUCUGAUGCCCUCUUCUGGCAUGCAGGCAUACAUGCAGAUAGAGCACUCAUACAUAGAAUACAUACAUAAAUAAAAAAAUUGUUUGAAGUUUCUACAUAAAUACUAGCUAUGGAGGAUAAGACAGUUGUUGAUCUGUUGCAAGUACUUACAUAUGCUGUACAUUUGCAUUGUAUUCAAAGGCUGUAGGGAUGGUAAGAUAAUCAAGAAGGUCCUGCAGAACAGUGAUUCUCAAGAGAUGACUCUAGAUCAGCUGUCUUACCUCCCAUUUGUUGAAAACAAAGAUUAAAUUCAUAAGUCUGACCCAAACAGAACCUUGGAGGCUGGGCACCAUAAACCUUCCAGGUAGAUCACUUUGCAUACUAAAUUUGAGAGCUAGUUGAAUUAGUAGUAGCUGGCAUACAUCAACCAAAAUGCCAAAGACAUUUUUAUGGACUUGGUCUAGAUGAUCCUAAUAUUUGUUUGGAAAAAAAAAUGAUCAAGAAUAGCAAAGAACAUUUUUCAAAAGACUCAAGAUGGCAUUUACCCUACCAGGUAGCAAAAAACUCUAUAAAUUUAUAGGAAUUCAAUCUACAUAAUACAAUCAAAUAAAGCCCACAACAGAUUUCUGAAUGUGUUGGAACAUUUAAAACCGUAAAACAAUGGUUCUCAACCUUCCUAUCACUGCCACCCUUUAAUACAGUUUCUCAUGUUGUAGUGACUCCCAUUCAUAAAAUUAUUAUUUUUUUUUUUUUGGUUUUUCGAGACAGGGUCUCUCUGUGUAGCUUUGCGCCUCUCCUGGAACUCACUUGGUAGCCCAGGCUGGCCUCGAACUCACAGAGAUCCGCCUGGCUCUGCCUCCCGAGUGCUGGGAUUAAAAGCGUGCGCCACCACCGCCCGGCUCAUAAAAUUAUUUUUGUUGCCACUCAUAACUAUAAUUUGUUACCAUUAUGAACCAUAAUGUAAAUUUCUAUAUUUUCCAAUGGUCUUAGGUGACCCCUGUGAAAGGGUUGUUGGACACCCACAAAGGGGUCACGACUCACAGGUUGAGAACCACUGCAAAGGAGAGAGUUGUUAAGUCCACAAAUGAGAUUAGCCAUCCGUUUAAUAAAGAAUUAACAUUUCUCCUCUGCAUCAUGUAAAAUGAAUGAUUCCAUCUGGGGUUUAAAGCCACAUAUAAAAGACAUACAAGUAGUGAACUAAAAAUAGAACAUGUUUAAGCGGUCAAGGACAGCAAUGCUUUCUAAUGUAGGAUGUACAAAGCAGGGCUGGGAGUGUAGUGCAAUGGUCGAGCACUCGACAAGCAUGUCUUAAGUUCAACUCACAGCAUUGCCCCCUCACACAAAGAAAGAUACAUAAAGUACAGCCGCAUAGGACAAGAUUGGAAUUUUAACUAUGUAAAAAUUGACUUCGCAUGACUAGCACCAGUAUCUUCAUUUCUAAUAAAAGGACCCAUUGAAGAAAUGGCUGCUUCUGGGACGAGUGAAGAAAACAUGGAGUAAUUUAUACACAGGGAAGUAAGCAAUAACUAAAACACAUACAAGAACACCAACCAAAUAAAUAAUAAAAAAAAGUCCAGCAAACAAAAUGAGGUUCUAGUUAAGACAGCAGAUUCAGCAAAAACUCAAGCUGAUUGAGAAAAUGGGUUCUCUUACUUUCUGGAGGAAGUGUGAGUCGGUCCGGCUGUUCUGGGGGGACUAUAGCUACAGGGAUUUUAGAGUUCACAGUCCUGUUUAGCUACAGAAAUUCUCUUGGACAGAAGUUUAGAAGGAACAUGAGAAGCUAGAAAGAUGGCUCAGUGAGAAAAAAUACAUGCUCUACAAGCAUAAGGACUUGACUUUGACUCUCUAGGACCCAUGGAGACAGCUGAGCACGGCUAGGCUUGCCUGUAAGAUCAGGAUUUGGGGUGCAGAGACAGGCAGAUAGCUCACUAGCCUACUCGGCGAGCUUCCUCUUCAGGAAGAGACCCUGUCUCAAGGCAAUAAGGCAGAUAGUGACCCAGGAAGGCUCCCAACAUCCAGCUCCUGCCUGUGCAUGCAUGGGCAUAGGGACACUCAAGUCCAUAUACCACACACACACACACAGAGAGAGAGAGAGAGAGGGAGGGGAGAGAGAGAGAGAGAGAGAGAGAGAGAGAGAGAGAGAGAGAGAAUGAAGCAUGACCAAGGUUUUAACCAAAGCAUAUUUUAAAUGCACACACAAAUCAAAAUACCUACCAAAAAAAGGAAACGAUGAAGUGAGCUAAGGGCUAGUCACAGUGUAGAAAAACAUGUUAUAUCAUCUGCAGGGGUGUCAGCAACUACAGACAUCAUCAUUUUGUGUAUCAUUAAGAAAGAAAAUGUGUCUAAUUAAACUAUGGCCAAAACUUUUGUGCCCAUUUGUAAUUUUCUAUUUCAUACUUCUUGGGAAAGUUAAUUGAGACUUAAGAUGCAGAUUUAGAAUUGUGCACCAUCCCUUUGCAUGCGUCAAAAAGGAAAAUGUUUAUGAAAUGAAUUGAUUAGGACAUAGCUAAAUUCUCUUCUUGGAUCAGUGAAAUGGCUCAAGAGGUAAAGCCGCUUGCUGCUAAAAUCACCUCAGUUGAAUCCCCAGGACCCACAGGGUGAAGGGAGAGAAUUAAGUCCCAUAAGCUGUCCUCUGGUCUCCACACAUGUGUUAUGAUAUAUGCAAACGUGAGUGUGUAUGUGUGUGUGUGCAUGUGCAUGUGUACAAACACAUAAAAAGUGCUAUAAAAAAUUUAAAUUUAAAAUUUAAAUCCUCAUCUCUAAAUCAGACUCUCCUAAAGGGCACACAGACUCAGAUCCAUCAGUAGUCCGGGCUGCUAACCUCCAUUCUGUGAGUUUUGAUGCAUACCCAGCAGUGGAUGACAAUGGCAUCUCUUCUGUUGCCUCACUGGCAGCAACUGUAAGAGACAUACCAAUUUUCCAGGCUGUAAAGUGUGAAUGAGGAAGUGUGCCUUAGAAUAAUAAAGAGCAUAUGUAGUAGCUAAAGGAACCAAGGGCAUUCACAGACGCCACCGCUGGAUGCUUUAGUUCAUAUUGCUAAGAAAAAGCAACACUUUGUAAAAGCAAAUAUGCAGUACAAUAUUAUUCAGGGAAAAAGCAAACAAACCUUGGGAUUUCUAUGGCAGACACUGGAAAAUCGGGCAGCCAUAGACUGCAGCUUUCCUUUACCAUGCCGUGUUAGACUUUACACAGCUGACUGCUAGUUUUCCCGGGCUCUGUGCUGAGACAUGAUGUGAUCAGGUUUAGGAGAGAGAACUGUAAGCAGACAGUCCCCUGGGUUUCCUUUCGUGAAUGAAAACAGCUUGGCAAGCAGAUUAUGUUUGGCCUUUGCUGCCCAGUACAUGGACACAGCUUCUAGAGAGGCUGCAAUCAUCUCCAGAUCAAACAAGGGCAAGAGCAGUACAUGGUCAACUCAAAAGUUGAAAGAGCCUGGGAUCUUGGUGAUGUCACUGAGCCUCAGCACUGAGCCUCACCACCUGAGGGUGUGCAGCCUGUCUCUGGGUAAAGUGUACAUCCACGAACAGUUCAGUAGCAUGACACACAGCCACACUGUGCAACAACUAUUAUCACUAUCCAUUAAGACAUUUUCGUCAUUCCGAGCUCUGUUCCCAUUUAAAGCCAGCUCUGUGUUCAGCCCCACCCCUCACCUCUGGCAGCCAUUCUACUUUCUGUCUUCAUGUUUUGACAAGUUCAAGGAGCUCGUAUAAGUAGAAUCAUAAGUUCUUUUGUGCCUGGCUUUUUAAAAGAUUUAAUUUAUUCUUUUUAAUUAUGUCAGUCUGUGUAUCUGCAUGAGGCUAUGUGCGCAAGAGUGUAGGUGUCUGUGGGAGGCAAAGGUGUGCGAUUCCCCUGGAGCUGGAGUAUCAGGCAGUUGUAAGCCACCUGAUGUGGGUACUGGGACCCGAAUUUGGGCGGGUCUUCUGGAAGAACAGCAGGUGUUCUUAAUCACUGAGCCAUCCCUCUGACCCAUCUGCCUUUUAAGUUUUUCACUGUAUACUUGUCACACAAGCAUAGUCCCCCCAUACCUUUGUUCUACCCUUUUCCAAUCUCCCCCACUAAUAACCCCCUUUGCUUCUACUUUCAUAUCAUACAUACAUGAUUUUAUAUAUCCUCAUAAGAUCUAAGAACUACAAAUGAAAGAAAGCAUACAGCAGUUGUCUUGCUGACUAGUUCAAUAUGAUUAUCUCCAGUUACAUCCAUUUUUCAAACUUCGUUUCACAGGAAUGAAAAAAAUCCAUUGUGUACAUGUGCUAGUUAGUUAGUUAGUUUUUGUCAACAUGACAAGGAAGAGUCAUCUGACCUCAGUGGAGAAAGUGUCUCUAUUAGAUUGCCUAUGAACAAGUCUGUGGCGUAUUUUCUUAAUUAAUAAUUGAUGGGGAAGGGCCCAGCAUAUUAUGGGUAAUGCCACCCUGGGCAGGUGGUCCUAGAUAGUAUAAGAAAGCAAACUGAACAAGUCAUGGGGAGCAAGUCAGCAAGCAGUGUUCAUAAGUUCCAGUUUCCAGGUUUCUGCCUUGAGUUCUGCACCAACUCCUGUUCACAGUGGACUAUAGGCUGUAAACUGAAAUAAACCCUUUCCUCCCCAAGUUGCUUUUAGUCAUGGUGUUUUAUCACAGUAACAGAAAGCUAACUAGGACAUUAAGUAAUUCUGCAUUUUCAGUCUUCCUUCCUCUACUGUUAAACACGUCCAUUUAUUCCAUAACUUAGCUAUUGUGGACAGUACUACGGUAAACAUUAAUGGGCAAGUGCCUCUAUGAUAUGGUGACUUGAGUCCUUUGGUAACAGUGCAGAGCUAGGUCAUAUGGUAGAUCUAGCUGAGUUUUCUGAGAAACUUCCACACCAAUUUUCCACGGUGUCGGGAUUAGCUUGCACCCCCACCAGCAGUGAAUAAGCGUUCCCCUUUUGCCCAUAUCCUCCACAGCAUCAAUUGUUGUUUCUUUUUCUUUUUUUUUUUUUUGGUUUUUCGAGACAGGGUUUCUCUGUGUAGCUUUGCGCCUUUCCUGGAACUCACUUGGUAGUCCAGGCUGGCCUCGAACUCACAGAGAUCCGCCUGGCUCUGCCUCCCGAGUGCUGGGCAAUUGUUGUUUCUUAAUGACUUCCAUUCUCACUGGGCUAAGACCAAAUGGCAGCGUAGACUCGUCUCUCUGAAGGCUAGUGACUUUGGACGAUGUCUAUAUGUUUAUUAGCCUUUUUAAGUUUUUUUUGUAUAGCCUAGAUAUUUAUUCUGUCAAAGAUGUUCCUCCCUUUCUAUCGGUCGUGUCUUUACUUGUUUCCAUUGCUAUUUUUUAGUUUCGUGAAAUCCAAUUUGUCAUUUGUUUAGAAAGUCCUUGCUGUAUCUUGAAAUUAUCCCUCCUUUUUCCUCUACCAAUUUCAGAGUCUCAGGUCUUAUAUUAGGUUUUUGACCCAUCUAGGGUUGACUCUUGUGCAGGGUGAGAGGUAGAAAUCUAGUUUUACUCUUCUACAUAUGGAUACCCAAUUUCCCAGCACCAUUUACUGAGGAUGCUGUAUUUUCCCCUAUGUAUAUUUUUGUCAUCUUUGUCAAAAAAAUCAAGUUCCUGGAGCUGUGUGGGCUUAUAUUUGAGGCUGUACUCUGUUCAGUUGACUACAUGUCUGCUUUACAGCCAGCACAACACUGUUUUUUGCUACUUUUGCUCUGUAAAAUAACUUGAAAUCAGGUAUAGUGAUACUUCUGGUUUUAUUCUUUUUGAUCAGGAUUGCUUUGGCUAUCCUUGGUCUUUUAUGUUUUGUUUUUAGCUUAUUUAAUUAGUAUAAUGUUGUCACUGAGCAUCCAUAGUGUAAUAUAAAUAAUAAUUUCACUCUUUUAACAGCUGGAUAAACUUCUACUGUCUGUAUGUAUAUGUUGCAUUUUAUCUUUGAUGCAGGGACAUUUGAAUUAUUUCCCUGGGCUUCUUUUUGAAUGAGACUAAUAAACUGGCUUCCUUUCUUGGGUUUUCAUUUCAA
Long non-coding RNA from Peromyscus californicus insignis, 15477 nucleotides. RefSeq lists it as uncharacterized. Lineage: Eukaryota; Metazoa; Chordata; Mammalia; Rodentia; Cricetidae. The record is from RefSeq and is a predicted model, not a curated record. The transcript has 3 exons.